UAACGCGUGAGGAACCUGCCUUUCAGAGGGGGACAACAGCUGGAAACGGCUGCUAAUACCGCAUAACAUAUAGGUAUCGCAUGGUGCCUAUAUCAAAGAUUUAUCGCUGAAAGAUGGCCUCGCGUCUGAUUAGCUAGUUGGUAGGGUAACGGCCUACCAAGGCGACGAUCAGUAGCCGGACUGAGAGGUUGGCCGGCCACAUUGGGACUGAGAUACGGCCCAGACUCCUACGGAAGGCAGCAG
Molecule: ribosomal RNA, 243 nt
Filed under: uncultured bacterium
Lineage: Bacteria
Description: partial 16S ribosomal RNA
Rfam family: Bacterial small subunit ribosomal RNA
Source: RNAcentral